This 1623-nucleotide long non-coding RNA is filed under the name Pan troglodytes (chimpanzee). RNAcentral's name for it is "long non-coding RNA NONPTRT016310". The record is from RNAcentral. Lineage: Eukaryota; Metazoa; Chordata; Mammalia; Primates; Hominidae.
UUGGAUGUGAGUCUAGUGCUCCUGGUCCCCAAAGUCACAACCCCUUCUAUCCCAGCAUCCCAGACUUCUCCGGGCGGGGACAGAGUUGGACGUGCACGGCUGUGUCCUGCAAUCCCCUCGCCACGACCGCCCGGGACGGAGUGGAAGCGGGUCCGUGCCCCCGUUCCUCGCGCCAGCCUCGGCGGUGGCAAGCGCUGUCCCCCAGCAGAGGUGUCCCUGGAUACAGUGGUUGAACUAGUUUACAGUCCCACCAACAACGUAAACGUAUUCCUAUUUCUCCACAUCCUCUCCGGCACCUGUUGUUUCCUAAGUCAGGAUAGCAAAACCUGAUCUCAUAAAACCUAGGUCACAAAGGACAGCCCUGCAAAACAGACCCUAUUUGGAUCAAGUGAACCAGUUCCUGGAACCUGAAUAAUGACUCCUGAAUCAAGGGAUACUACAGAUUUGUCUCCAGGGGGUACCCAGGAGAUGGAAGGCAUCGUGAUAGUGAAGGUGGAGGAGGAAGAUGAAGAAGACCAUUUUCAAAAGGAAAGAAACAAAGUAGAGUCAUCGCCACAAGUUCUCAGUCGCUCUACAACUAUGAAUGAGAGAGCCUUAUUAUCAUCGUAUUUAGUUGCAUAUAGAGUGGCAAAAGAGAAAAUGGCUCACACAGCGGCUGAAAAAAUUAUCCUUCCAGCAUGUAUGGACAUGGUACGGACAAUUUUUGAUGACAAAUCAGCUGAUAAACUAAGAACUAUACCUCUUAGUGAUAAUACAAUAUCUCGUCGAAUCUGUACGAUUGCAAAACAUUUGGAAGCAAUGCUUAUUACACGGCUGCAGUCCGGUAUAGACUUUGCAAUCCAACUCGAUGAGAGCACUGAUAUUGCAAGUUGUCCCACACUGUUGGUUUAUGUCAGAUAUGUGUGGCAAGAUGAUUUUGUAGAGGAUCUCUUAUGUUGUUUAAAUUUAAAUUCACAUAUAACUGGAUUAGAUUUAUUUACUGAAUUAGAAAACUGCCUUGUUGGUCAGUAUAAAUUAAACUGGAAACAUUGUAAAGGAAUUUCAAGUGAUGGAACAGCAAAUAUGACCGGAAAACACAGCAGACUUACUGAAAAAUUGUUAGAAGCAACCCUCAACAAUGCUGUUUGGAAUCACUGUUUUAUUCAUCGAGAAGCUUUGGUAUCCAAAGAAAUUUCACCAAGUCUAAUGGAUGUAUUGAAAAAUGCAGUGAAAAUUGUUAAUUUUAUUAAAGGAAGCUCACUGAAUAGCCGACUUCUCGAAAUAUUUUGUUCAGAGAUUGGAGUGAACCACACCCACUUAUUGUUUCAUACAGAAGUUCGUUGGCUUUCUCAAGGAAAAGUAUUGAGCAGAGUAUAUGAACUCAGGAACGAGAUUUACAUUUUUCUCGUUGAAAAGCAAUCUCAUUUGGCAAAUAUUUUUGAAGAUGACAUUUGGGUAACAAAAUUGGCAUAUUUAAGUGAUAUUUUUGGCAUUCUUAAUGAAUUAAGCCUGAAAAUGCAGGGGAAAAACAAUGAUAUAUUUCAGUAUCUUGAACAUAUUCUAGGAUUCCAAAAGACGUUAUUAUUGUGGCAAGCAAGACUUAAAAGUAACCGCCCUAGCUACUAUAUGUUUCCAACAUUAUUG